AUAAAGACAGUUUAUUAGGGAAAACAAAAGCCAUGCACUCAAGUGAAGCAAGAUAAUUAUUUCACUGCUUCCCAUGGGGAGGCAGGUGUUCAGCCAUCGCCAGGAGAGCAGGGCCUCAUCGUGCGUAGUGCUUGCUUGGAAAGACAAAUGAAAUCACUGCAAACAUUCCCCCUUCCUCUUUCUUCCCCCCAGCUUUAUGUCCUGAGCAUGAUGUCACAUGGUCUGGAAAUCCCUUUGGUCAGUUUGGGUCACCUGUCCCAGCUGUGUCUCCUCCCAGCCUCUCAUGCACUCCCAACUUCUCACCCGUGUGGCAGCACAAAGAGCAGCAAAGGCCUUGGCUCUGUGUAAGCCCUGCUGAGCAACAACAUAAACAUCUCUCUGUUAUCAACCCUGUGUUCAGCACAAAUCCAAACACAGCCACUGUGAAGAAAAUUAACUCUUCCCUAGCUGAAAAAUAUUGAAAUAAGGGAUAAAGUAGAGAAGUGAGAAGAAUUAUACUUUAGGGAAUGCCAAUUUUAUAAAAUUUCCCAUCAAGUUCUGGAAUAUCGCUUCAAAUAGUUGUUUAGCUGUACAGUUUACCCAGCCAGGCCCAGCUUGAAGCAGAGGAUGUUUGAGUGACUCCAUACUUUAAUAAAUGCUUCCCUGUCUUCUACCACCUCAGAAGUGCUUUCAAGUAAUGUAAGUGUACUGUUUCCUCGGCAGCAGGGAAGGGUGAGAAGGAGGGGUAAUGUGAAAGGUAGAGGAGGGGAGAAAAUAAAGUACUGCAGACAUAGCUAGCUAGGAAGGAAGGAGAUGCUCUUCCCAAAGUCAUUUCUCAAACCAGUCAUUUCAUAAAUUAGAAAAACAAGCACAUAAAUACAAUCAACAGUAUAUUGAGUAGGAAGUGUAACUGCAGGUAACAAAAAAUUGAACAUUUACUUUCAUCUUUUCUCUGCUUCCAUUUGUUCUGCAAGUGCAUAAACUUUCCAGACUUGUUAGAGAGAGAAUUUCUGUAAGCAGGACCACAAUGUACAUUGAAAUUUGCGUGUACUAUGAGCACAUCCAUAAAACUUUAGGUGUGAUGAUGACAGCACUAAACAAACAGACUUCUGCAACAGGAGAUUUGAAUAUGCUCCAGAAAUUGCAGACUUUCAGGGUAUCAGGAAUGCAGAAACAAAUAAAAAAUCCUCCAAUAAACACAAGGAAGGAAGCUUACAUUUUAUAUGUUUUGAAUUGUGAGGGUUACUGGCUGGAAGAACCUACCAUUACAGAUUUGAAAGCAUUCACACACACCUGAUAAAAGCAAUGUCCAUCUUUCACAUUUUACAGCCUAAUAAGGGAACCUGUUAUUAAGUAACCUUGAAGGAACUUUCCAAAUAGAACAAAGAAAAUACAAAUCUAUAGCAAUUCUGUUCUUAAAGCUAAACAGAGCACUAAAAAUUAAGUACCUAUAGGGGAAAAAAAAACCCAACAACCUUACUUUUAAACAUGGGCAAAUUUAAUUAUUUAGAAGCAGUUGCUACACAAAUCACAGAUGACAUAUUUUACAGAGAGAAAAAGCAUUGCUAACGUCCACCUCUGCAAGGUAUAAUCUUAUAUUUAGAUGUAAGUGCUGGAUUUAACAGGUCAAAAUUCUGCAAAAACAUUCUACACAGUUAAAAGUAAAUUCUUACACUUGAUAAUUCCACACAUGCUAAAAGUCACUCUGCGCUCUUGCACAGGCUGAAAUAGGAAAAACUAUUUAAAUGCAUUAAAUUAGCAUUUCAGUAAUUGUACUGAGUUAUCUGUUACAAAACUGCAACAAUUUGUGAGAAUAAUAAAAGGUAGUCUGAUUAAGCAUAAUUUAAGAGUCACCUGCUGAGCACCUGAAUCAGCUGGCUAAAUGUAUCUCCGUUGUAUGUUGCCAUGUGAGCUUUUCAAAUGACCAGCUGAUCCACGCCACUUCAAAUAUUUCAUAGUGGUUUUUAUCCUCCCAAAAAUCCAAUUUUUCUUGUGUCUGUUGUGUUUCCAGUCCUGUUGUUAAUACAGUUUAGCUCAAUACUGCUUGGCAGUAUUUAUCUUGUUCUUGCAAUUAGAGAGGUUAGGGGAAAAAAAAUCUCUUUUCCAAAUAUCCCCACUAAUCAUAAUUAUCAAGGGAGAUCUGCAGUAACUGCUUCUCUCUUUAUAUUAAGGUGUGCAUGCACAUGCAUGUAGACAUACCCAUGUAAAAUCAACCUUUUUGGCACAGCAGAUACAGGCCUUAAGACAAUCAGUAAGAGCAGUUCCACUCAGUAUAUAAUGAAAAGGCAGGAAAAACCCCGAAGUUUUAUCCCAAACAGAUGUUUCUGUCAUAGGUGUUCACCAUUGCCAUGUUAGCAUGAUUGAGCAGUUCUGAGCUGCCACACUAAUUAAUGUGUGGUAUAUGAAAUAAUGUAACAAUUAAGUUCGCACGAAGAAUAGAUUUUUUUUCCAGAAAACAAACACAUCCAUUCUUUAAAAUUAACUUCAAAAUUAUUUAGCAAUGGAAGAUAGAACAAAUAGCUAAUUUCUGUUCUUUCUCAUUAAUCAUGCCACAGCAGGGAAGGUUUAUUUAGCUCUGAAAAUGCAAACUCUCCACAAGUCUUAGUUUAUACCUUGAAACUGUGAUAAAAUAUCCCAGACUGCUCAAUGAGACUAAAGUGAAAACUGGCUUAUCAGUUUUCCAGCAAGCUGUGUGAUGAGUAUGACCUCUUGUGUUAGACAUGGGAAUAUUCAUUUUUUUUUAUUCACACAAUGAACAAGACAGUAAAGUCUAAAAGCUUGUAACAGCACUGUCCUUGCAUUUCAACAAAUAAACAGGAUAGCAGAAGCAGAGGUAUAACAUUUGGGACUUGUGACUUGUAUAUAUGAAUUAGAAAACAAAUGUGAUCAUUUCCUCACACAGAUAUCAUAUAUUUCCCCACAUAAAGAUAUCAGAUAUUUUAGUAUAACAAGACCUUAAAAAGAUUUUUUUUUCUUCUUCUUCACAAUUCUAAUAUAAGCUUCCAUGAUCAGAGUAGAUUAAGUUACAGGACAGAGCCUUGAUGACUUCUAAAUAAAACAUGGAGAUUUACAAAUUUCUUAAAAGGCUUUUCAAGGUAAACUAGGUCAUGAGCAUUUAUAUCCUGGUAAAAUGAAAGCUUAAAAGAAAGUACCUUUAAGAAAAAUUAAGGACACAGAAUAAACAGAAAAGGAAAGAUGGAACCUUGCCUAUCUAAUUUUUACCUAGUUCACAAAACAUGUAUUUUGAAACCAUGGUUCAGCAAGACAGUAGAAGCCCAGGUUCCCUGGGAUUUUAAUUUCCAAAGAUUCCUGAGAUUCAUGUGUGUUUCAAAAAACAGGCAAAAAUGGGACAAGCAAGACAGAAGUACAGUCCAUGUUUUUCCAAAGAAAAUGGAAUAUCUGAAGCUGCACUAAACAGCCUGUUCAUUCUUAAGAAUAACCUUUUAUCUUGGCUGUUGGUGUUCAGGGAAAUUAGUGCAAUCUUGAGCAUCCAGAUGUACUUCCGUGUAACUUAAAAAUGAAAGUAUUUUAUCAUUUGUGGAAUGAAGUGUGUGUAGAUUUCCAUUCAAAACUUGGUUGUAAGAAAAUUUUUUUUUAUCACAAGACAUUAUGAUUUUUUGUAUCAUAUAUAUUCCCACUUAUGAGUGCUUUUCAAAAUAACAUGCUAUGUAAAGAUAACUGAAUUUUGGUCUGUCUGUAAAUAAUUUAUCUAUACUGUAACACAUGAUAUUUACCACAUUAGUGAGGGUUGUUUCAAUGUGUGGGUGAUACAUGUGCUUGCUUUAAAAGCUACAUAUUGAUUAGGAAUUAACUUUAAAAUUUUAUAACAGAGCGUAUUUUAAAACGUUGUUAAUGACACUGCCUCACUCAUCUUUCUAACCUACAACUCAUGUAAGGAUUUCAAAGUAAAUUGAAUGUCACAGGAGACACAGAAAUUAUAAGGAUGCGGGCUUUUAUCCUAGAAAGGCUUGGUGGAUUUUGUCUUUAACAUUGCCGAGAAAUUAAAGAUGUAAGGAAGUCUUCCAUGGUAUCAAAUAUUGUCUGGGAAGAAAAAAAAAAAAAAAACAACAAAAAACCCCUCUCUUAUAGUCUUGCCUAGUUGACAGCUGACAGGAAUGACACAGCUGUAACAAGGUAAACCACGUCUCAUUUUCAUAAUUCUUUCCUUAAAUAACCUUUCCUUAAAUAAAUGCAGAAAGCAGACUUUACCUGAUGCAGACAUGUCUCUGCCUAACGGAGCUGCCAGAGCAGAUUACUCAGUGGGGACUUGAGAGGCAAAGAAAGGGGAAAAGGCAAAAUGGCAGCGGAGAACCAACUUCAGGCAGUGCAUGGCAGGGAGCCGGAGACGGAGGGGACCUACUCAAUGACACCGGCCCCGUUUCACGGUACAGCUCCUGCCGACCCGACGGAGCAGGUCUGCAGCCCUCGAACCUCCCCCGGCUGCCGCUGGCCUCACGCCCCGGCUGCGCCUCUCCCUCCUUCGGCUGAGGGAAGAAGGAGCAGCCGGCAGAAGCCGCGCGUCCCCCCCACCCGUCCUUCGUGACAGGCCGGGGAUAUGCCGGGAAGGGCUCCCCGCCCGGCGCCGCGGCCGCGGCCCCUUCCAGCCCUCCGCGGCCCGGGGCGGCGGGCGCGGAGAGAGCCCGACGCUGUGUUUUGCAGGGCGGCGGCGGCGGCGGCGCUGCUGGACAGCUCCGGAGCGCGACGCGGCGCCCAUGUUCCGGAGACGGCGCAGAUGUGACGUGAUGCCCGUUGUUUUGGUGCGCCCGACCAAUCGGACGCGGCGGCUGGAUUCUACGGGAGCCGGGAUGGGCCCGUCGUGGCGGCAGCAGGACGCUCCCCUGCCGACCGUCACGCAUUGCGCAGGGUGCACCACCGCCCGGUCCUCCUGCGGCUUUAACGGCCCCGGCAUGGACCCGCCGCGCCACUUCCCGGCGGGCUUCGGCCCCGAGCAGCAGCAGCAGCACCAGCAACAGCAACAGCAGCAGCAGCGCCCGCCGGCGCCGCCGCACUGCCAGCAGCACGGCCAGGACAAGCAGAGCCUCCAGCAGCAGCAGCAGCAGCAGCAGAGCCCGUGCCUCCAGUGCAACAACUGCGCCUACUACGGGGCUGCUGCGGCAGCCGCGGGGGAUAACCUGCCCCUGCUGCUCCGCGCCUCCUCGCCGCUUUCGGGCGCCUUUCGGACGCACUCCUCGCCGCUGUCUUCCGCCGCCUCCUCCCGGCACGGCAGCCAGCUGAACGUCAGCGAGUUCACCCCGUCCAGCCAUGCUGGCGCGUCCAGACAGCCUCACCAAUAUUCCCAGUACCACCAGUGCCAUAGCCUGCAGCAGAAGCAGGCAGCCAGCCCCAGCAGCAGUGUCAGCAGCAGCAGCACUCACCAUCAUCAUCACCAUCACCAUCACCACCACCAUCACCAGCAGCAGCAACGCCGGGAGAGCAACCCCUUCACCGAAAUAGCCAUGAGCAGCUGCAGGUACAACGGCGGCGUCAUGCGGCCGCUCAGCAACCUGAGCUCGUCCCGCAGGAACCUGCACGAUCUGGACUCCGAGUCGCAGCCUCUCCAGGCGCCGCUCGCCAGCCCCGCCGCCGCUGCCGCUGGCUCUGCCCCCGCCGCCGGCAGCCCCGCCGCCCCUGAGAUCGUGGUCUCCAAGCCCGAACACAACAACUCCAACAACCUGGCGCUGUACAGCUCCGCCGGCCCCGGCCCCGGCCCCGGCACGGGAAGCUCCAACAACGGCGGGGGCAAGUCCAGCAAGAAGAAGAACCAGAACAUCGGCUACAAGCUGGGACACCGCCGGGCUCUCUUCGAGAAGCGUAAGCGCCUGAGCGACUACGCGCUCAUCUUCGGCAUGUUCGGCAUCGUCGUCAUGGUCAUCGAGACCGAACUCUCCUGGGGCGCCUACACCAAGGAGUCUCUGUAUUCCCUCGCUCUGAAAUGCCUUAUUAGCCUCUCCACGAUUAUCCUGCUCGGGCUUAUCAUCGUGUACCACGCAAGAGAAAUCCAGUUGUUCAUGGUGGACAAUGGAGCAGAUGACUGGAGAAUAGCCAUGACUUACGAGCGUAUUUUCUUUAUCUGCUUGGAAAUACUGGUGUGUGCUAUACAUCCCAUACCUGGGAAUUACACAUUCACAUGGACAGCCCGGCUCGCCUUUUCUUACGCUCCAUCCACAACAACAGCUGAUGUGGAUAUUAUUUUAUCUAUACCAAUGUUCUUAAGACUUUAUCUUAUUGCCAGAGUUAUGCUUUUGCAUAGCAAACUUUUCACUGAUGCCUCAUCUAGAAGCAUUGGAGCAUUAAAUAAGAUAAACUUCAAUACCCGUUUUGUUAUGAAGACUCUAAUGACAAUAUGUCCAGGAACUGUACUGUUGGUUUUUAGUAUCUCAUUAUGGAUAAUUGCUGCAUGGACUGUCCGAGCUUGUGAAAGAUACCAUGACCAACAGGAUGUUACUAGCAAUUUCCUUGGAGCAAUGUGGUUGAUUUCAAUAACUUUUCUAUCCAUUGGAUAUGGGGAUAUGGUACCAAAUACAUACUGUGGAAAAGGGGUCUGUUUACUUACUGGAAUCAUGCAGGAGGAAUGUUGUGCCUUUUCUGGUGCAGAGCUAAAUUUCCCACCAGAACCAUAUGUCUGCAAAGCGCACCUUCUCUCUCCCUCAGUGGAUCCCAAGAGAAAUGAGCAAGAAAUGUGGCAACUGCCUUCUUUCAGCUACAGGGUGCUGGGUGCACUGCACUGGUGGUAGCUGUGGUGGCAAGGAAGUUAGAACUUACCAAAGCUGAAAAACAUGUGCAUAAUUUCAUGAUGGACACCCAGCUAACUAAAAGAGUGAAAAAUGCAGCGGCCAAUGUACUCAGGGAAACAUGGUUAAUUUAUAAAAACACAAAGCUGGUUAAAAAGAUAGACCAUGCAAAAGUAAGGAAACAUCAACGCAAAUUCUUGCAAGCUAUUCAUCAAUUAAGAAGUGUAAAAAUGGAACAAAGGAAACUGAAUGAUCAAGCCAACACUUUGGUGGACCUGGCAAAGACUCAAAACAUCAUGUAUGACAUGAUUUCUGACUUAAAUGAAAGAAGUGAAGAUUUUGAGAAGAGAAUUGUUACUCUGGAAACUAAACUGGAAACUUUAAUUGGUAGCAUUCAAGCUCUUCCUGGACUGAUUAGCCAGACAAUCAGCCAGCAACAGAGGGAAUUCCUCGAGGCUCAGAUACAAAAUUACGAUAAGCAUGUUGCCUACAGUGCUGAACGAUCACGAUCUUUGUCAAGAAGAAGGAGAUCAUCCUCCACAGCACCACCAACUUCAUCAGAGAGUAGCUAGAAGAGAAUAAGUUAACCGCAAAAUAAAGACUUUUUGCCAUCAUAUGGUCAAUAUUUUAGCUUUUAUUGUAAAGCCCUAUGGUUCUAGCCAGUGUUAUCUGGGUUCUGAUGUCAGAAUCCUGGAAACCUGAACACAUUUUAGGCCAAAAUGAGUGAAAACUCCUCUUUUUUUCCCCCCUCCUCCUCUCAGAUGCACAGUGAAUGCACCUAGUAUUGCUAUAUUAGAUUGUUCUUCCUGUAAUUUCACUUUUUAUUCAUGCACUUCAAACAAGCUUUACUACUACAAUACAUAAUCUAAUAUAAUAAAAAUGUUAAUUUCUGCACAUAGUUACUUGAUUACUUUGACCUAACUACCAAAAAAAAAGAUCACAAUCAAAAGACCUAAUUAUGAAAUUUAAGAAACUAAAUCGAAGCUUAAUAAUUAUCUCUAAGUAUGAAAGCUAACUGUCUAAACUUUGCUUGCAGUGGAGGGGGAAAAAAACUAAUAUUAAUCUAACAGUGUGCUGUGUAUGCAUAGUCAUUAUAAAAGGUGAUGAACGGCUUUGAUUUCUGAAAUGAUUAAUUAAAAAUAUAGUUUAUCCUAGAAAAUAAGUCUCAGAAUAAGCUAUGGGUUUUAAAAAUAUUCUUAGGGCUUUUAUUUAACAUGCAUUGGUACACACACACACAUAGAUAAUAUAUAUAUACAUAUGUAUUUAUGUAUAUAAAAUUAUUUAUGCAAUGCCCAUAGCAAUGAUCUUUUAAACUGACUAUUCGUAAAGCUACUGGCAUGCAAAAAGCACAGGCAAAGUCCUGUUUUCUUAUUCAGAGUCUCAUAACAAUGCCAGGUAUGUUUGUCCAGAUCAAAAGCAUCACUUUCACCCAGAAGCCUCCUAAUAAUGCUGUUUGGGUUUUGGAAGUGUUAGGUUACUACUUUCUCCACUCCUUUCUUUGUGUUUCUGGGGUGAAUGACUGACUUAGAGUACACACGGGUGUGUGGUGGCAGCACAGUGUUCUGUAUACUUUAUGUUUGGGCAAUCCCCAUGGUUCCUGCUAUGCAGUCAAGCUUAGCAAAACACUUCUAGCAAUAUUUCCAAAAUCUCCUGUAAAAAGCCAGCUGUAGACUGGAGUUACAACAGAAGGGUAUCAAUAGUACUUUAUUUUCAUGCAUAAAAAUAAGGUCUCCUACUUUAUUAAAGAAAAAAAAAAAAAAAAAAACAAAAAACAAACAAAUCACAAAGCAUAGCCACCAGUAGGCACUGGUGAAAAGGUUUUGACUGACAUUUCUCCUGGUUUAUGCUCCAGAGUAGCAAAACUAGAUAAGUUUAAAUGCUCAGUACAUGCAACUUGCAUUAACAAUUCCUAGUUAAAAGCAGGAAAUUUGACUUUAUGAGACAUUUUUAGUACUUGCUAUUUACAAAAUGUGCCAGUCCAGUCUGCCUCUCCCCCAGUUUACAGCCAAGGGUGACAUCUGUAGCUAAACUGGCAGACAUUGCUGACUGUUUCUAUGUCUGCCUGGAAGUAACCAGCUUGCUCAUUAAAGAAAGUGAGGAAAUGCACAUUGCUCCAUGAAACACUGUGACUUCUGGUCAGCAAGGACAGGCAGGAAAGAGUAAUGCAGGAGGUCAGAGCAGAGCCCUUCUGGGCAAGACAGAAGAGCUUUCCAGCAAUCAGAAUUCCCAAACCAAAUACAUAAUCUGAAAAACAGCAGACACUUUAGCCUAUUCAAAUUAAAGGAUCUUCCUUUUCUGGUGUUACGAAUGUAUAAAUGAUGAAUGUAUAAGUGACAUCCAGAGGUAUUGCAUGCUUAUUAAAAGGUUAAUUAUUUCUCUAACUUUUUAUGUCCUUGAGAAAGAUGAAGAGUUCAGUAUUUUUCCCCCUAGAGCAGGACAGUUGCAUGCCUUUGGCGUGCCUUAUUUACAGACUGUGGUAUUUUGUGACUGGAAAUAACAAGCAGUAUGCAUAGUAUUUGCAGUUCUGCUUUUGUUUUUAUGGAGAUCAUUUUCAAAGGAAAAGACGGAUGUUAUAUAGUCCUAAUACUUUUCUAGUGCAGUCCUUAAUUAGAUGAUAUUGUGAGUGGUCAUAAGGCCAGUAGUGAUACAUAAUAUUGGAAUUUAAUAGUCAAGAUUUAGAAAUCUUUUUUCUCCUUUUUUGCAUUUAGUUUAGAAUACUCUUCUUGACAUUGAAUGUGAAAUACACUUUCUGUAGCUUGAAUACAUUCCUUUUUCUCCUGUCAGCUUGAACUAGCUCUUUCAUUGUUUACAUCUUUUUAAUAUAUGUAUAACACCCAUUUUUUGCACAACUGGUUUUUUAAAGAACUGUAGGUCCACUUUGAAAAUUUUUGUCAAUCUUCAAUUUUAAUUAAGAUCCAGCUACAGGUAUUGGGCUGGCUAUUUCUGUUGUGAAAGAGCAGCUGUCAAUCUUUGACCUCUCAAUUUCUUUUACUCACUAGGACUCGGAAGCCUGAACCUAAUAUUAUUGCCACAGGUUUAUGCAAUGGUGAGAUUCAUCAGGAUUAUUUCCAUCAGUAGCAUUCUGUAACAACCUGCCAAAUUGUUCUGGAUUCCUUUAUUUUCUUUUUAAAGCAAAAAA
This is a non-coding RNA of Zonotrichia albicollis (white-throated sparrow), 9849 nucleotides long. The record is from RefSeq and is a predicted model, not a curated record. Lineage: Eukaryota; Metazoa; Chordata; Aves; Passeriformes; Passerellidae.